GCGGUUGGCGCUGUUGGGAGUUCCCGGAAUGGUGAUCUCGUGUGUCUCCUGGGCCCGUGGCGGUGGGAGGUACGCUGCAGCCUUUACACUGCCAAUUGGCUCUCAGAGUGCGGGUCCCGAGCUCGCCUCAUCUACUGCUCUGGGCGUUUGUUAGAAACGCCGAGUCGCCGCCCCGGGUGGCCGGAGGCUAGAAGCUGUGGGUGGGUCCAGCAGUCUGUGUUAACCAGCCCAAUCUGCUGACCCAACGUCCACUCAAGUUGAAACCACCGCUGUGUACGAUACAAAAGCGACAAACGUCUCGGUGGCAACUGAAAGCUAUUUACAUUGUGGCGGAACCUAUGAGAGAAGAGUGCUACUGAUGAGCUGCCCACGUCUGAUGAUUUCUCCACAGGCAAAACAAAAUAGAGCCAAUUAACCUGUCAGUCAGCAGAACAAAUCUCAUUGAACUGAGACACAGAUGUGGCCAUGGUGUGGAGGUUGGAAUCGUGACUUCACCACGCACCAGCCCCGUGACCCUGAGCAAGUUGCUUCGCGUCUUUGCACCUCUGCUUUCUUGUCUGUCGGUAGCUGCAAAGCAGGAAAAGGCUGAUCCAUUAAAGAAGAGAGAGAGCGAGAGCGAGAGUCCUGUCAAUAAACCACAGUAGCCAGAGGAACCCAAGUUUAGCAUCACUUGCUCAGCCUGUUCGGGAGCCUCUAAUGGACUCCACUUCCGUGAACGCAAAGUUUCAGGAUGACAUCUAGCUGUUGGGGCUCAAGAUGAAGAGAGACAAUGAAC
This is a long non-coding RNA of Lepus europaeus (European hare), 775 nucleotides long. RefSeq lists it as uncharacterized. NCBI's taxonomy places the organism in Eukaryota, Metazoa, Chordata, Mammalia, Lagomorpha, Leporidae. The transcript is spliced from 5 exons. The record is from RefSeq and is a predicted model, not a curated record.